Mus musculus (house mouse) is the source of this 638-nucleotide long non-coding RNA. RefSeq annotates it as predicted gene, 36594. The transcript is spliced from 3 exons. The record is from RefSeq and is a predicted model, not a curated record. Lineage: Eukaryota; Metazoa; Chordata; Mammalia; Rodentia; Muridae.
GCCCCUUUUAUAAUGAGUCAGGCGUACCUGGCUAUCACCAGGUACCUGUGGGUAGAGCCUAGAACAAAUACUAACAACUGCUCCAGUUGUGUAGAAUCCACAUGAAGACCAAGCUGCAUAUCUGCUACAUAUGUGCAGGGAGGCCCAGGUCCAGCCCUGUAUGUUCUUCGGUUGGUGGUUCAGACUCUGAGGGCCCCAAGGGUCCAGGUAAACCCAGCAACACAGCACAAGAGAGAUAAUAAUAGCAACUAAUUAUCAAUUUCCUGCGAUGGAUGCUUAAAGAGCAAUUACAUAAGAGCAACCCAUAAAAGUCCUCAGAGGAUAGCGUUCCUGGGCAAAGGCAGAACAGCCUGGACUGGAGGCUUAGAAGAGACACCUGAAGGAAACCAUCAUCCCAGCCACAAGGAUUUCAGCCCUGACCAUCAUAGGUCUGCUAAACUUUGGACAGCUUCUGGCAAUAGAGCAUUAGAGAUGCCAGAUAAGACCAAGAUCAGCAGCUCAGGUCUCCACAGCGGAAUCCCCAAAUGCCCUUUGGCUAAUGAAAACUAGCCAAUGGCCAUUGGGUUUUAAGCUACUUCUUUGUGGAGUGGCAAGUUAACAAAGUGAUACCUAGUACUAAAUACCUCUUUGGGAGGCAA